GGCAUAAGGACAUGCCGCGUGAGGUGAGGCCUGUGGGUUGUAAACUUCUUUUCUCAGAGAAGAAAAAUUGACGGUAUCUGAGGAAUAAGCAUCGGCUAACUCUGUGCCAGCAGCCGCGGUAAGACAGAGGAUGCAAGCGUUAUCCGGAAUGAUUGGGCGUAAAGCGUCUGUAGGUGGUUUGACAAGUCUCCUGUCAAAGAUCAGGGCUUAACCCUGGGCCGGCAGGAGAAACUAUCAGGCUAGAGUUGGUAGGGGCAGAGGGAAUUCCCGGUGGAGCGGUGAAAUGCGUAGAUAUCGGGAGGAACACCAAAGGCGAAAGCACUCUGCUGGGCCAGUACUGACACUGAGAGACGAAAGCGAGGGGAGCAAAAGGGAUUAGAUACCCCUGUAGUC
Molecule: ribosomal RNA, 393 nt
Filed under: Chloroidium saccharophilum
Lineage: Eukaryota; Viridiplantae; Chlorophyta; Trebouxiophyceae; Watanabeales; Watanabeaceae
Description: bacterial SSU rRNA
Rfam family: Bacterial small subunit ribosomal RNA
Source: RNAcentral